AGAACGAACGCUGGCGGCAGGCUUAACACAUGCAAGUCGAACGCUCCGCAAGGAGAGUGGCAGACGGGUGAGUAACGCGUGGGAAUCUACCUAGUUCUACGGAACAACAGAGGGAAACUUCUGCUAAUACCGUAUACGCCCUAAGGGGGAAAGAUUUAUCGGAAUUAGAUGAGCCCGCGUAAGAUUAGCUAGUUGGUGGGGUAAUGGCCUACCAAGGCGACGAUCUUUAGCUGGUCUGAGAGGAUGAUCAGCCACACUGGGACUGAGACACGGCCCAGACUCCGUACGGGAGGCAGCAGUGGGGAAUAGUUGGACAAGUGGGGCGCGAAGCCCUGAUCCAGCCAUGCCGCGUGAGUGAUGAAGGCCUUAGGGUGUAAGCUCUUUCAGGUAGGAAGAUAAUGACGUACCUACAAGAACGACGCCCGCUAACGUUCGA
This 436-nucleotide ribosomal RNA is filed under the name uncultured soil bacterium. RNAcentral describes it as "bacterial SSU rRNA". It matches the Rfam family "Bacterial small subunit ribosomal RNA", at positions 26 to 506 of the family's 1533-position model. The record is from RNAcentral.